RNAcentral lists this ribosomal RNA (253 nucleotides) under uncultured bacterium. Its description in RNAcentral is "partial 16S ribosomal RNA". It matches the Rfam family "Bacterial small subunit ribosomal RNA", at positions 524 to 776 of the family's 1533-position model. The record is from RNAcentral.
UACGAAGGGUGCAAGCGUUACUCGGAAUUACUGGGCGUAAAGCGUGCGUAGGUGGUGAGUUAAGUCCGUUGUGAAAGCCCCGGGCUCAACCUGGGAAUGGCAGUGGAAACUAGGGGACUGGAAUCUGGCAGAGGGGGGUGGAAUGCCGCGUGUAGCAGUGAAAUGCGUAGAGAUGCGGCGGAACACCGAUGGCGAAGGCAGCCCCCUGGGCUGAGAUUGACGCUCAGGCACGAAAGCGUGGGGAGCAAACAGG